RNAcentral lists this ribosomal RNA (550 nucleotides) under bacterium BaP1-45. Its description in RNAcentral is "bacterial SSU rRNA". It matches the Rfam family "Bacterial small subunit ribosomal RNA", at positions 85 to 621 of the family's 1533-position model. RNAcentral also lists the same sequence under 1 other name. The record is from RNAcentral.
UAUGACGUUAGCGGCGGACGGGUGAGUAACACGUGGGCAACCUGCCUGUAAGACUGGGAUAACUUCGGGAAACCGAAGCUAAUACCGGAUAGGAUCUUCUCCUUCAUGGGAGAUGAUUGAAAGAUGGUUUCGGCUAUCACUUACAGAUGGGCCCGCGGUGCAUUAGCUAGUUGGUGAGGUAACGGCUCACCAAGGCAACGAUGCAUAGCCGACCUGAGAGGGUGAUCGGCCACACUGGGACUGAGACACGGCCCAGACUCCUACGGGAGGCAGCAGUAGGGAAUCUUCCGCAAUGGACGAAAGUCUGACGGAGCAACGCCGCGUGAGUGAUGAAGGCUUUCGGGUCGUAAAACUCUGUUGUUAGGGAAGAACAAGUACGAGAGUAACUGCUCGUACCUUGACGGUACCUAACCAGAAAGCCACGGCUAACUACGUGCCAGCAGCCGCGGUAAUACGUAGGUGGCAAGCGUUAUCCGGAAUUAUUGGGCGUAAAGCGCGCGCAGGCGGUUUCUUAAGUCUGAUGUGAAAGCCCACGGCUCAACCGUGGAGG